AUCUCGGGGAUAAAAUUUGCUUACUGAAAAUGACAUUCGCUCCCUCUAUGUUUAUUACUCUGAGGGUUUUACUAACCUUUUUCAUAUUUAUUUGAAGAACACCAAUUCCUAUCUCGACUGAUGUUUUCUAUAUGUGUUCUAUAAAUAUCCCUUAUGUUCUAUAACUUAACUUAUGUUUGUGCAGUAGCAAUUAUCUUGGUUGGAAUAGAAAUAUUAGGUGUACAUACGUUAUAACAAAAUUAAAGGAUUAUAAUUGAACUCACUCAUAAAUUGCUAUAAGGAACCAGCCUCAAUAAAGAAAAAUUUGUGUACUGGCAAUUGACAUCAAUAAUUAAUUAAUAUUCGAUAUGUUACUCUACAAACAUUAAACAAUGAUAAGAAAAUACCAGUUCUUGCGAAAUAAAGAAAACAAACUUUUCAAGAUAGAUUUUUGUCUUCUUCAAUUCGAACACUUUGAAUAUUUUACAAUUUUUAAAAUUCGAUAUUGGAAAGAAUGACACCUGAACUUUCCUUCGAUCUAACACUGAAACAUAUAACUGGCAACAGAGCACAAUCGAUAUUAGAAUCGUUGAUAUCGCAGCCGGCGCAACAAUGGAUUUAAAGAUCGUCGCAACUGGUAAAACUAAUAUUUUGUUACUUUUUACCAACUAAGGAGGAUCGAUGAAUGGUGAAAUAUGUGCAAGUGGUCUUUUGGUUUGGUUUCUCUAGUUCUUUUGGUGAUUUUCUGUGCGAAUGAUAUUGGUGCGAGGAGAUCUCCGUACGAUGUUUUACAACCAGAUUCCAUAGAAUACAAGUACAUACUUAGAAAUAUACUUCCAAGGGAGAAUUCAUGGUGGAGAAGGGGAACACACCACGACAUAGACCCCAAAUCACCAGUUCUUAUUAUUCGACCAUAGAAUCAUUAUAAUUUAUUAUUAUUUAUCUUAUUUAUAUUUAUGAAUGUCAAUAAACAAUUCAUGUACCUA
Molecule: long non-coding RNA, 965 nt
Organism: Harmonia axyridis
Lineage: Eukaryota; Metazoa; Arthropoda; Insecta; Coleoptera; Coccinellidae
Exons: 2
Source: RefSeq, a predicted model, not a curated record